This 428-nucleotide ribosomal RNA is filed under the name Pseudomonadota bacterium. RNAcentral's name for it is "Proteobacteria bacterium partial 16S ribosomal RNA". It matches the Rfam family "Bacterial small subunit ribosomal RNA", at positions 355 to 776 of the family's 1533-position model. The record is from RNAcentral. Lineage: Bacteria; Pseudomonadati; Pseudomonadota.
UGGGGAAUAUUGGACAAUGGGCGAAAGCCUGAUCCAGCCAUGCCGCGUGUGUGAAGAAGGUCUUCGGAUUGUAAAGCACUUUAAGUUGGGAGGAAGGGCAGUAAGCGAAUACCUUGCUGUUUUGACGUUACCGACAGAAUAAGCACCGGCUAACUCUGUGCCAGCAGCCGCGGUAAUACAGAGGGUGCAAGCGUUAAUCGGAAUUACUGGGCGUAAAGCGCGCGUAGGUGGUUCGUUAAGUUGAAUGUGAAAGCCCCGGGCUCAACCUGGGAACUGCAUCCAAAACUGGCGAGCUAGAGUAGGGCAGAGGGUGGUGGAAUUUCCUGUGUAGCGUGAAAUGCGUAGAUAUAGGAAGGAACACCAGUGGCGAAGGCGACCACCUGGGCUCAUACUGACACUGAGGUGCGAAAGCGUGGGGAGCAAACAGG